Molecule: ribosomal RNA, 394 nt
Filed under: uncultured bacterium
Lineage: Bacteria
Description: bacterial SSU rRNA
Rfam family: Bacterial small subunit ribosomal RNA
Source: RNAcentral
AUUGAACGCUGGCGGCAUGCUUUACACAUGCAAGUCGAACGGUAACGGGGACUUCGGUCUGCCGACGAGUGGCGAACGGGUGAGUAAUAUAUCGGAACGUGCCCAGUAAUGGGGGAUAGCUCGGCGAAAGCCGGAUUAAUACCGCAUACGCCCUGAGGGGGAAAGUGGGGGAUCUUCGGACCUCACGUUAUUGGAGCGGCCGAUAUCAGAUUAGCUAGUUGGUGGGGUAAAGGCCUACCAAGGCGACGAUCUGUAGCUGGUCUGAGAGGAUGAUCAGCCACACUGGGACUGAGACACGGCCCAGACUCCUACGGGAGGCAGCAGUGGGGAAUUUUGGACAAUGGGCGCAAGCCUGAUCCAGCAAUGCCGCGUGCGGGAAGAAGGCCUCGGUUGU